RNAcentral lists this ribosomal RNA (253 nucleotides) under uncultured bacterium. RNAcentral describes it as "partial 16S ribosomal RNA". It matches the Rfam family "Bacterial small subunit ribosomal RNA", at positions 524 to 776 of the family's 1533-position model. The record is from RNAcentral.
UACGUAGGAUGCAAGCGUUGUCCGGAAUUAUUGGGCGUAAGGAGCGCGCAGGCGGUUUUUCAAGUCAGAUGUGAAAUCUCCGGGCUUAACCCGGAGGGGUCAUUUGAAACUGAGAGACUAGAGUACAGCAGAGGAGAGCGGAAUUCCCGGUGUAGUGGUGAAAUGCGUAGAGAUCGGGAGGAACACCAGUGGCGAAGGCGGCUAUCUGGGCUGAAACUGACGCUGAGGCGCGAAGGCUAGGGGAGCAAACAGG